GGAUCGAUGGUGUAGUUGGUUAUCACGUUCGUCUCACAUGCGCGCACGCGUCUUUCGUUUGCACGAGAGGUCUCCAGUUCGAACCUGGAUCGAUCCA
This is a non-coding RNA of Marasmius tenuissimus, 97 nucleotides long. The record is from the annotation of a GenBank genome assembly. NCBI's taxonomy places the organism in Eukaryota, Fungi, Basidiomycota, Agaricomycetes, Agaricales, Marasmiaceae.